CGUAGGUGGCAAGCGUUGUCCGGAAUUAUUGGGCGUAAAGCGCGCGCAGGCGGUCCUUUAAGUCUGAUGUGAAAGCCCACGGCUCAACCGUGAGGGUCAUUGGAAACUGGGGGACUUGAGUACAGAAGAGAAGAGUGGAAUUCCACGUGUAGCGGUGAAAUGCGUAGAGAUGUGGAGGAACACCAGUGGCGAAGGCGACUCUUUGGUCUGUAACUGACGCUGAGGCGCGAAAGCGUGGGGAGCAAACAGGAUUAGAUACCCUGGUAGUCCACGCUGUAAACGAUAAGUGCUAAGUGUUAGAGGGUUUCCGCCCUUUAGUGCUGCAGCUAACGCAUUAAGCACUCCGCCUGGGGAGUACGGCCGCAAGGCUG
RNAcentral lists this ribosomal RNA (371 nucleotides) under uncultured organism. RNAcentral's name for it is "bacterial SSU rRNA". It matches the Rfam family "Bacterial small subunit ribosomal RNA", at positions 526 to 896 of the family's 1533-position model. The record is from RNAcentral.